This 85-nucleotide transfer RNA is filed under the name Thioalkalivibrio versutus. RNAcentral's name for it is "tRNA-Leu". The record is from RNAcentral. Lineage: Bacteria; Pseudomonadati; Pseudomonadota; Gammaproteobacteria; Chromatiales; Ectothiorhodospiraceae.
GGAAAUGCAUGAAACAGUCCGUAACCCGGACUUAAAAUCCGCUGGCCGCAAGGCCGUGCCGGUUCGAUUCCGGCCGUCCCCACCA